Long non-coding RNA from Tympanuchus pallidicinctus (lesser prairie-chicken), 3457 nucleotides. RefSeq lists it as uncharacterized. Lineage: Eukaryota; Metazoa; Chordata; Aves; Galliformes; Phasianidae. The record is from RefSeq and is a predicted model, not a curated record. The transcript is spliced from 3 exons.
AUUUCACAUUCGUCCUGCCUCCAAUUCUGAGCUGACCUCAAAGCCCAGAUGGCCUUUGCUGUCCCCCAGUUAAGUAAGAAAAGGUGAUGGAAUUUGCCCAAUCCGUCAUGAAUCAGGAAGCUGAUAUGCUCUCUUAGCAGUUCAGAAGAUAAAAUCAGAAAUGUCAAGUGAGGCAGCACCAGCUUGACCUGGUGCUGAGAGACCCAUGGGGGAAUAAGUGCUCAUAAUGAAUUGGUUCCUUCCCGAGGUCUUUGAGGAAGAUGAGAGCAGACAGUGAAAUCCAAUACCGAGAAAAAGGCCACUUCAUAAACACAUCUUGGACUCAGGGAGAGUGUCCCAAAAGGAUGAAAAUUCCAGAAGUAAAAAUGUUCAGAAAUGUAUUUCUUCAAAUGCAGGCCUCUUUGCCAGCCAUAGGCAGGAGCUGGUGAACAGCGAAGGCCCUGAAACUGCUCUGCUCCUACCUGGGCCCUGGAAGAAUCAUAGAACAGUAGAAUCUUAGAAUGAUUUGGGUUGGAAGGGCCCUUCCAGACCACAUGGUUCCAACCCCCCUGCUGUAGGCACGGUCAUCUCCCACUAGACCAGGUUGCUUGAAGCCCCAUCCAGUCUGGCCUUGAAUGCUUCCAGGAAGAGGGCAUCCACAGCCUCUCUGGACAACCUGUCCCAGUGUCUGACCAUCCUCACAAUAAAGAAAAUUUCUUUCCAAUAUGUAGUCUAAAUCUACUCUCUUCCGGUUCAAAACCGUUUCCCCUCAUCCUGUCACUACAUGCCCUUAUCAAAAGUCCCUCUCCAUCUUUCCCAUACCCCUUCAGGUACUGGAAGAAGACAGCCAGGACUUGACUUUACUCUUGAAUAUCGUAUGAAUUCCAUCUGUCAAAACUAGCACUUCCAUUUUGGCCAGUUCCUUCUGCUCAGCAGUAUCUCCCUAUCUCUCAGUUUCACUGAUCCAAACUGUUUCUACUGAAUUCAAAUGUAAAAGAAAAUUUUACACUGGGACUCUAGCCUGUAGGAAAUCCUGACUUUGUUUUUGCCUCUUCAUACACCUGCAUUUAGGAUCAAAAAGCAUUUAUCCGGACCUCAAAAGCCUUGGAUUUGAUAUCCAGAUCUAUCCGUGACCAGCUGUGUAGCUUUAGCAAGUCGUUUGACGUUGUUCAGCUUUCCACUUGCAAAACCCAGUACGGAUGGAAAGCUGUGCACAUGUUAGCUGUGACCUGAGAGCGGGUGUGCAGCCAGGGCUGCUCUAUGCCAGCACCCGAUAGGGAAGCAGCCAGGAAUGCUGCUGGGGAAUAGUGUCAGGAAUAUUGACUAAAAUAUAAAAGAAAGGACAAAGCCUUCCGCAGCAAUAGCCUGGCUUCAUCUGAUGCGGCCUUCCCAAAUCCUGGUAGGAACACAGGGCUUUACGAACUGCUCAAAAUACUUUUUGAAGAGGUUUACAAAUCUGCUUAUCUUUCACAUUGUUUUAUUUUAUGGUUUCUAUGGUAGCCCAUUAAUCUGCAAUGAGAACACACUCUAAUUUGAAGACAGAUGAUGAUACAGGGAUAAAAUGACCUUUCCUUUUCCUUCUGGGAGCCCAUAUAUGCUCUUCACAAAGCACAGAUUAUUAUGGUUUUGUUAGAAAGUUUCUUUUACCGCUCUUGGCUUCUACUUUCAGGAUCACUUUCAUCUGGUUUCCUUCAUGGGCUGAGCAACACUUUCCCCUGGAUUUUGUGCCUUCUCUUUACUUUGUUUUCUCACUGCACAGAGAAAUGCAUGAAGCUGAGGUGAACUUUCAGUUUAUAGUAUCUGAAGGGAUUUGAAUUUAGGUCAGACAAGUUCAGCUAUUCCCAUAGGAUAAUCCUGUUGCUGUACAGCACUGCUGGACAUGCUGCAAAUGCUACAGGCUCCUGUUGGAGAUGAUUCGUGUUUGCAGGUCUGGAAAGAGAACUGGGGACGUGUUAAAUGGAUUCAGUCCAAGCAUAGGGAAACCAGCAGCCAUCCCACUGCUGGGGGUUUCACUGUAGUCACAAACCCUUUAGGAAGGAUGCCAUGCUGGAUUUCUCCACUUUCGUUGCAAUAAAUCUGGAAAAGACAUUGCUGUAACAAAGCAGGCAGCUGGGUCUGAAUGGCUGUCACCCCCCCCACAAGCCAAGGUCAUUUGAAAAGUCUCCAGUGACAGAUGGGCAAAAGCAGCUCUUCCUGCUUCAAAGGCACGGGAUGCUGCCGUGGAGCCAGUUUUUUCUUCUGCAGGUCUUCUUGUCACCGAGCAGGAAGGAAAAGCUGCAAACAAAGGCAACUUCAGCGAUUUUGGAACAUGAAGAAUAAUGUCCUUCACUGCUGCCAAGGCAGGGCUCAGUGCAAAGAGCUGAACGGCACUGAUUCCUACAGUCAAGGACUUAUGCCCCUCUUGUUCCUUUGCAAGAUAAGCUAUUCCCAACUGGAUAUUAACUCUUCCUGCAAAUGCAGUGUCAAAACAAUGGCAGUACAAUACCAAGGUCCAGCAUUUUCCUUAAGAAACUGUGAAGCACCAAGGAGAGCUUCGUUGCAGAAGAAGCAACGCAGACAUACAAUGCAACGAGAUGUGAACACUGAUGGGAACAGCCCAUGGCUUCGAUGUUGGUCACAGAUGCACAGGGCUGAGGACAUAGGGCUGAGGCCACCUCAGGAGGUCCUGCUGUUGCAGGUUCACUCCCAUCAUCUUGCAGUUGUGGUGGAAUCAGGAAUGCACAGAGAAGGUCACUGAAGGGUAACUUAAGUGCCAUGGACCUGAACAUGGAGACUUUGGCACAAAAGAGGGGAGCCAUUCCUGCUCAUUUGCUGUCACUCAUACGUCCAAGAGACAAGGAGCUGUAAAGAACACAGGAAUAAAGAGCAGGAGUGGAUGUCAAGAGAAAGGCAAGUAGGUGGCACGGAGGAUGGGAAGCAAAGAAAAAAAUGCCUGGGUAACGUGGUACUAGAUCUUAAAUGCUGCUCAGUAGGCCUGAAUUGGAUCCUUUUGUGACACCAUCAUAUAACACAUGGAUUUGUAAAUGGAAGCCAUGGGCAAUUUAGGAGACAGCGUGAAGAGAGCUGCAUGUCUUAUCUGUGAACAGCUUCCGUGUUUAAUCCAAAGACUGAAAUAUGUAAGCAUUAUCUGGUCCUACAAAAUGACUCAGAAAGGUGAGGUGAAUCCCUUUUCAGAUGCUUUUUAUUUUAAUAGAUGGUUCCCUUAACAGCUUAGAUUAGUCAAAUAUUCAAGAUUUUCAAGCUUGAAAGAAAAAAAUCCUUAAAAGACCUUUGUUGUUGUUGUUGUUGUUUUGUUUGCUUUUUUUUUUUAACAGUGAUCUUGGCACAACGGUUUGCCUUUGCUGUCUGACACUUUCAGCAAGAGGUAAAUUACAUAGACUAUAGAGUAAAUUUUGUUGAGAUAUGCCUUUUUCUUAAGAAUUUUUUUAAGGUUUAAUUCAACAUUCAAAUUGAGAUUACAGUUAACUUCUUUUGAAUG